CCUACGGGUGGCAGCAGUGGGGAAUAUUGCACAAUGGGGGAAACCCUGAUGCCGCGACGCCGCGGGAGUGAAGAAGUAUUUCGGUACGUAAAGCUCUAUCAGCAGGGAAGAAAAUGACGGUACCUGAAUAAGAAGCCCCGGCUAACUACGGGCCAGCAGCCGCGGUAAUACGUAGGGGGCAAGCGUUAUCCGGAUUUACUGGGUGGAAAGGGAGCGUAGACGGCAGCACAAGUCUGGAGUGAAAUGCCAGGGCUUAACCCCGGAACUGCUUUGGAAACUGUGCAGCUAGAGUGCAGGAGAGGUAAGUGGAAUUCCUAGUGUAGCGGUGAAAUGCGUAGAUAUUAGGAGGAACACCAGUGGCGAAGGCGGCUUACUGGACUGUAACUGACGUUGAGGCUCGAAAGCGUGGGGAGCAAACAGGAUUAGAUACCCCAGUAGUC
Molecule: ribosomal RNA, 440 nt
Filed under: uncultured bacterium
Lineage: Bacteria
Description: partial 16S ribosomal RNA
Rfam family: Bacterial small subunit ribosomal RNA
Source: RNAcentral